Molecule: ribosomal RNA, 2391 nt
Filed under: Yersinia enterocolitica
Lineage: Bacteria; Pseudomonadati; Pseudomonadota; Gammaproteobacteria; Enterobacterales; Yersiniaceae
Description: bacterial LSU rRNA
Rfam family: Bacterial large subunit ribosomal RNA
Source: RNAcentral
UUAAGCGACUAAGCGUACACGGUGGAUGCCUAGGCAGUCAGAGGCGAUGAAGGGCGUGCUAAUCUGCGAAAAGCGUCGGUAAGGUGAUAUGAACCGUUAUAACCGACGAUACCCGAAUGGGGAAACCCAGUGCAAUUCGUUGCACUAUUGCAUGGUGAAUACAUAGCCAUGCAAGGCGAACCGGGGGAACUGAAACAUCUAAGUACCCCGAGGAAAAGAAAUCAACCGAGAUUCCCCCAGUAGCGGCGAGCGAACGGGGAGGGGCCCAGAACCUGAAUCAGCGUAUGUGUUAGUGGAAGCGUCUGGAAAGUCGCACGGUACAGGGUGAUAGUCCCGUACACAAAAAUGCCUAUGUUGUGAGUUCGAUGAGUAGGGCGGGACACGUGACAUCCUGUCUGAAUAUGGGGGGACCAUCCUCCAAGGCUAAAUACUCCUGACUGACCGAUAGUGAACCAGUACCGUGAGGGAAAGGCGAAAAGAACCCCGGCGAGGGGAGUGAAACAGAACCUGAAACCGUGUACGUACAAGCAGUGGGAGCACCUUCGUGGUGUGACUGCGUACCUUUUGUAUAAUGGGUCAGCGACUUAUAUUUUGUAGCAAGGUUAACCGAAUAGGGGAGCCGUAGGGAAACCGAGUCUUAACUGGGCGUCUAGUUGCAAGGUAUAGACCCGAAACCCGGUGAUCUAGCCAUGGGCAGGUUGAAGGUUGGGUAACACUAACUGGAGGACCGAACCGACUAAUGUUGAAAAAUUAGCGGAUGACUUGUGGCUGGGGGUGAAAGGCCAAUCAAACCGGGAGAUAGCUGGUUCUCCCCGAAAGCUAUUUAGGUAGCGCCUCGUGAACUCAUCUUCGGGGGUAGAGCACUGUUUCGGCUAGGGGGUCAUCCCGACUUACCAAACCGAUGCAAACUCCGAAUACCGAAGAAUGUUAUCACGGGAGACACACGGCGGGUGCUAACGUCCGUCGUGAAGAGGGAAACAACCCAGACCGCCAGCUAAGGUCCCAAAGUCAUGGUUAAGUGGGAAACGAUGUGGGAAGGCACAGACAGCCAGGAUGUUGGCUUAGAAGCAGCCAUCAUUUAAAGAAAGCGUAAUAGCUCACUGGUCGAGUCGGCCUGCGCGGAAGAUGUAACGGGGCUAAACCAUGCACCGAAGCUGCGGCAGGGGACGGAUCACUUAAAACGCUUAACGUGACGGCAAAGCCGGCAUGUUCAAGCCACACUAAACGUUGAGUUGGCCGGUGUGCUGACAAACGAACAGGCGUUUUAAGGAUACGUUCGUUGGGUAGGGGAGCGUUCUGUAAGCCGUUGAAGGUGGCCUGUGAGGGUUGCUGGAGGUAUCAGAAGUGCGAAUGCUGACAUAAGUAACGAUAAUGCGGGUGAAAAACCCGCACGCCGGAAGACCAAGGGUUCCUGUCCAACGUUAAUCGGGGCAGGGUGAGUCGACCCCUAAGGCGAGGCUGAAAAGCGUAGUCGAUGGGAAACAGGUUAAUAUUCCUGUACUUGGUGUUACUGCGAAGGGGGGACGGAGAAGGCUAGGCUAGCCGGGCGACGGUUGUCCCGGUUUAAGCAUGUAGGCGGAGUGACCAGGUAAAUCCGGUUGCUUAUCAACGCUGAGGUGUGAUGACGAUGCACUACGGUGCAGAAGUAGUUGAUGCCAUGCUUCCAGGAAAAGCCUCUAAGCAUCAGGUAACAUGAAAUCGUACCCCAAACCGACACAGGUGGUCAGGUAGAGAAUACUCAGGCGCUUGAGAGAACUCGGGUGAAGGAACUAGGCAAAAUGGUGCCGUAACUUCGGGAGAAGGCACGCUGGCAUUAGGUAAAGGGACUUGCUCCCGGCGCCGAAGCCAGUCGCAGAUACCAGCUGGCUGCAACUGUUUAAUAAAAACACAGCACUGUGCAAACACGAAAGUGGACGUAUACGGUGUGACGCCUGCCCGGUGCUGGAAGGUUAAUUGAUGGGGUCAGCCGCAAGGCGAAGCUCUUGAUCGAAGCCCCAGUAAACGGCGGCCGUAACUAUAACGGUCCUAAGGUAGCGAAAUUCCUUGUCGGGUAAGUUCCGACCUGCACGAAUGGCGUAAUGAUGGCCAGGCUGUCUCCACCCGAGACUCAGUGAAAUUGAACUCGCUGUGAAGAUGCAGUGUACCCGCGGCAAGACGGAAAGACCCCGUGAACCUUUACUAUAGCUUGACACUGAACAUUGAGCCUUGAUGUGUAGGAUAGGUGGGAGGCAUAGAAGUGUGGACGCCAGUCUGCAUGGAGCCAACCUUGAAAUACCACCCUUUAAUGUUUGAUGUUCUAACUCGGCCCCGUAAUCCGGGGUGAGGACAGUGUCUGGUGGGUAGUUUGACUGGGGCGGUCUCCUCCCAAAGAGUAACGGAGGAGCACGAAGG